AUGGAUUAUGAGUUGAAUGAUGCAGCUUGGCUGGGAGUGCAUAUGUUUUUGGAAGGAAUUAACUAGUGCAUAAGAGGUAGCAUUAGCUUCUCAGCAUGAGAACAGGUUGUCUGCUAGAUAAUGUUGCAACAAAUGUUUUCUUCAACUAAUAUGUUCCACUGGGUGGAGGGGAUGUUUUCCAGCAGCACUGACUCCAUGCUGCUCUGCUUAACCUGAAACACCCCUCUCUGAAUCUUCAGAAACACAAGGUGUGGAAAACAAGCCCAUAGAACUUACAGGGUCGUGUGCACAAAUGUAGAAAUUUCUAAGAAAGACCAAAUUAGCAUUCUUCUCUUCCUAGGAAUAGGCUUAUUUUCUUUAACAAAUCCUUUUUAAAUGAAACCUAUAAAUAAUACCUAUAAGAAAAGCUAAUAGGUAGAGAUAUUAAAAACAAAAGCGUUAUAAUAUAGAAUUAAGUCAAUAGGCCUAAUGAAUAUUGUUGACCCUCUCAUAAAUCUGCACAGCUAAGCCCUAGUCAGUUGAUAGGGAGGUGGGAGCUGUCUUCACUGCUUUAGGGACAGUUGGCUGUGAUACCCGGUUGGGCUGGCAAGGAAGCAGGAGGACAUGCUUGUACUUAAUACCAUGAGCAGUAAUAGCUUAAGCUAUUUUGCUGUAAGAGAAACACAUCAAGGCCUUAGAAUUUUGAUUUAAGGAAAACACAGGAUGGUGUUAGAUGUGCAUAUAUAUAUAUAUAUAUAUAUACACAUAUAUAUAUAUAUACACACACACACAUAUAUAUAUAUAUAUAUAUGUAUAUAAAAUGAUGUUUUCAUCUAAACGCUUUGACCAAUACUUUCCUUAAAUCAUCCUUUGGGGGAUAGCAGGACAAAGCAGUUUAGAGCCCAUCUCUGGAGCCAAUCUGUGAUCAGACUCUGCCACCCAGUCAUCCUGUGAGCUUGGGCAAAUUAUGAAGCUUCUAAUUCUUAGUUUUCUCACUUGUAAACAGAGACUGUAUUGUGUCUGUUUUAUGCUGUUAAAAAUGAGAAGGUGAACGUAAAGCAUUUAGUGUAGGAUCUGGCACAUAAUAAGAGCUCCGAGAAGACAAACCAUCACCCUCAUUCUCUGCAACACUGUCAUUAUCUCAUGGCUACGGGGCCACCGAAGAGGGAAACGCCUGUGUCUGCGCCCUACCAGAACCAGCCCCAGUGGUGAGGAAGCAGCAUUGCGGGACAGUCAUACCACAGUUUAUUGUCACUAGGUAAAUGGGAAGUAGCACAGAUAUUUUUCUUAGAUAAAUUUCAUGAGAGACAAAUUUUUUAAAAUCAAAAUUUUAUGGAAUAUUGAGGCAACUUGCCAUAUUCUACCUCUUUUUUCAUCCUAUUUUUUACUCCCAGCCUUAACUAGAGAGAACAAUUUUCCAAUUUGUCUUUUCAAUGGAGUCUUCCAAAAGAAUAUCAAACAUGUAAACUAGCACGCAUCCUAGACUUUUCUGAAAUCAGCAAUGUUUUGUUCAGAUGUGUUUCCCAAGAAAUGAAAAAUCCACUAUUUCAGGUUGGGAUUACAUUACUUGGAGUGUUUUCAUUUUGAUUCCGAGUCUUCUAAAAUGUCUAAUCAUACAACUGAGAAAAUUUUUUUCUUAAUUCUUUAAAAAGAAAAAACGACUGAUGUCUGAAUGUGGAUAGAAAAGAUGAGCGAGUAACUAUUUGGAUUAAGGAGCAACAAAUUAAAAUGUGGCCAUUCAAUUUCCUUAAACAGCAAAAAAGCAAUUUUAAUGGGCUUACAUUUGGAGGAGGAGGAGAAGAAUUGGGGAGAAUGCAGUUAACCAGAGUUCCCACCGUGGCUCAGCAGGUUAAGAACCUGACAUAGUGUCCAUGAGGAUGCGGGUUUGAUCCCUGGCCGUGCUCAGUGGGUUAAUGUUGGGCGUUGAGCUGUGGUGUAGGUCUCAGAUGCAGCUCUGCUGUGGCUGUGGCUGUGGCAUAGGCCGGCAGCUGCAACUCUGAUGUGACCCCUAGCCAGGGAACUUCCAUAUGCUGCAGGUAUGGCU
Molecule: long non-coding RNA, 2023 nt
Filed under: Sus scrofa (pig)
Lineage: Eukaryota; Metazoa; Chordata; Mammalia; Artiodactyla; Suidae
Description: lncRNA (ENSSSCG00025043550.1)
Source: RNAcentral